This 24-nucleotide non-coding RNA is filed under the name Arabidopsis thaliana (thale cress). Lineage: Eukaryota; Viridiplantae; Streptophyta; Magnoliopsida; Brassicales; Brassicaceae. The record is from RNAcentral.
UAAGUCUUGCCAUUGGCGAUCUUA